CCUACGGGAGGCAGCAGUGAGGAAUAUUGGUCAAUGGGCGGAAGCCUGAACCAGCCAAGUCGCGUGAGGGAAGAAGGCCCUGCGGGUCGCAGACCUCUUUGGACGGGGAGCAAGGCCGCCGACGUGUCGGCGGAAGGAGAGUACCCGUAGAACAAGCAUCGGCUAACUCCGUGCCAGCAGCCGCGGUAAUACGGAGGAUGCGAGCGUUAUCCGGAUUUAUUGGGUUUAAAGGGUGCGCAGGCGGCGUGUCAAGUCAGCGGUAAAAUGUCGGGGCUCAACCCCGGCCGGCCGUUGAAACUGGCGUG
This 305-nucleotide ribosomal RNA is filed under the name uncultured bacterium. RNAcentral describes it as "bacterial SSU rRNA". It matches the Rfam family "Bacterial small subunit ribosomal RNA", at positions 338 to 640 of the family's 1533-position model. The record is from RNAcentral.